CACUCCUCAUCGUCCUGGACUGCAAAGAAUAAAGCCCUUGCCUGCUCAACCUCUCCUUGUAGCCCAAGCACUCGUCCUGGCAACAUCCUCGUAAGUCUUCUCUGCACUCUUUUAAGCUUGACAACAGCUUUCCUAUAACAUGGUGCUCAGAACU
Molecule: long non-coding RNA, 154 nt
Organism: Amblyraja radiata (thorny skate)
Lineage: Eukaryota; Metazoa; Chordata; Chondrichthyes; Rajiformes; Rajidae
Exons: 3
Source: RefSeq, a predicted model, not a curated record